UAUAAACAACCAGGCAUAUAUAAGUUAAAAUGCAAAGAUUGCCCAUUAACUUAUAUAGGCCAAACAGGACGUACAUUUAAUCAAAGAUACAAAGAACACAUAACAGCCAUAAAACACAACAAAGACAACUCAGCAUACGCAAAACAUAUAUUAAACACUGGACAUGCAUACAAUAAAAUCGAACAAACAAUGGACAUUAUAAAAAUAGUACAUAAUAAACGACACAGAGAUACAAUAAAAAAAUAUUACAUACAACGUACACACAAACAAAAUAUUGCACUAAACGAUAACAACAAUCCCAUCUUCAAUACAAUACAGUUCAUUGACCCAACCCCGUAAAACAACUUUCUCCCUAUAUAUACAACCAGCAUCAACACACAUACCGAGUCACAGAUUGUCAUCACCCGAUAGCAGAUGUAGGACACACCACACAUCACAAAAUUUGAAAAUGAACAUCUGACUAUAGACAUGCAGAACAUUACGAAGACUGAAAAACCUACAAAAGAAAAUCUACAAAACAAAUCAAUAAAUAGUUGCAUUGAAAUAUAUAAUAGUUUUAAAGAUAUAAAUGACGAAAAAACCCUGAAGAUGAUGCAAUAAUAGCAUCG
Molecule: non-coding RNA, 608 nt
Organism: Zootermopsis nevadensis
Lineage: Eukaryota; Metazoa; Arthropoda; Insecta; Blattodea; Termopsidae
Source: RefSeq, a predicted model, not a curated record